This 473-nucleotide long non-coding RNA is filed under the name Olea europaea subsp. europaea. Lineage: Eukaryota; Viridiplantae; Streptophyta; Magnoliopsida; Lamiales; Oleaceae. The record is from RNAcentral.
CAUCCACCUACACAGUUACUAUGAAUCAGGGUAAGAUAUACCUUUUCCUAAUCUCCAAAAACAAUCAUUCGUUACAAUAAUGUUCAAACCAAAUGAACCAAAAAUCAAUGCGAUAAAAAAUUUUAAUUUUUUGGUUGCAAUGAAUGGAACUCAAACACAAGAGACAGAGACCUCAUAGCACCAGCAACUAGCAACAUUCCUUAUUGUAUAGCCUUCACAACCCAAAACCAUUAGCGAAGAAUUGAAAGAUCUCAAGAACAAUAGGAAAUCUGCACGGCCUUUCACAGACAAGCUGAAGCUCUCUACCUAUCAUCAGCCGCGGAUCCAGCACCCGGCAAGGGGGCAUGGCCAGCCGUGCUAGAUCCACCAGUAGUUGCACUUGCCACCAGGCACCGAGGGAGAAGUUUUUGCAGCUGCAGAGAAGUCGCCAAAUCGGAAGUCAAAACCAUGGAGGCGGUGAGUUUAGGAAAAAG